GGAAAUAUUAAAUUAAAUUAGAAAUUUUAGAUGUAGAUUAAUAGAUUCUAGCAUGUGUCUAUGUGGUUUCUAUGGUGUUGCUAUGCGGUUGCUAAUGCACCCAGGGUGGUUGCUAAGAUGUUGCUUUGCGGUUGCUAGGGUACCCGGGUUGGUUGCUAGAGUGUUGCUAUGCAGUUGCUAGGGUACCUGGGGUAAUUGCUAGGGUGUUGCUAUACAGUUGCUAUGGUACCCGGGGUGGUUGCUAUGGGUAUGCAGGGUGGUUGCUAGGGUAUGCAGGGUGGUUGCUAGGGUGUUGCUAUGCAGUUGCUAAGGUACCCGGGGUGGUUGCUAAGGUGUUUCCAUUCCUUUGGCUCACCGGUUCCUGCACAGUUUAAAAAAAGUAGCUAAUACACUUAAGUAAUUUGCAGAUCUGGAAAAGCAUGGAAAAAAGAGAACAGAGUAUGGAAAAAUAUUUGUGUUUCGACUGUUUGCCAUAUUCAGUGUUCUAAAGUAUAACAUUAAUUUCUAAAAAUAAAUUUGAUCAAUAGAGAGCUUUCAUGACAAACGUUUAGUAAUCAUCUGAAGAAGACUGAAUUAAUUCAAGGCUCACUAACUCUUAUACAGUCUUUUUUUAACUUUACUUAACAAAUGUGCGUGUGCCACGCAAACAAGCAAAAGAUAAAGAAGCAAAUAUGUAGGCCUAGUAGAAAAUGUAUCUGUAACUAAGCUGAUUAUUAGCCUACUCUUGACAGAGAGCUGGUUUGGUUUUUGAUAGACGCCCAGAGACGGCAACGCAGCUGUUUGAUUGGUGAUCGCACAGUGCUUAUUCCAUUCAUUCAUGUGUCAUAUCAUAGCCUAUAAGGUUUAAAUCAUUGCCUUUUAAAUAUACACGAAUAGUAGAAAAUGUACAAUGUAUUAUUUUAUUUGAUAUUACUCUUGCCAAGCUCUGAUUUCUGAGAGAUGCACAGAGAGGCAACAGCAAUGCGGUGUUUGAUAUGCACUCUUUUCAUUCAUAAAAUUUACAUUCAUUCACUUCACACACUCAUUAUUGCAUGAUUUUAGGAGGUUUGUGUAAAAUAUUGUGCCGAUCCCCUGGCUCACCUGUGAAUAUAGCAAGCAUCAGAGUGUUCCAGCCUCAGCCAAAUAUUCAGGCAGAAUUAUUCAUUAUCCUUUAUUAGUUUUUGAAGCCAUUAUCUCUGCCUUUCUGAAUAAGGUAUUCGGCUUCGGGCACACCCCUAUUACUCACCUACAAGGUUUAGCUCCUGCGUACCUAGCUAGUCUUCUACCACGCUACAAUCCAUCAUGCUCCCUAAGGUCACAAAACUCUGG
Long non-coding RNA from Cyprinus carpio carpio, 1308 nucleotides. The record is from Ensembl. Lineage: Eukaryota; Metazoa; Chordata; Actinopteri; Cypriniformes; Cyprinidae.